This 431-nucleotide ribosomal RNA is filed under the name uncultured bacterium. Its description in RNAcentral is "partial 16S ribosomal RNA". It matches the Rfam family "Bacterial small subunit ribosomal RNA", at positions 29 to 507 of the family's 1533-position model. The record is from RNAcentral.
AACGAACGCUGGCGGCAGGCCUAACACAUGCAAGUCGAGCGCCCUUUCGGGGGAGCGGCGGACGGGUGAGUAACGCGUGGGAAUAUGCCCUUCUCUACGGAAUAGCCUCGGGAAACUGAGAGUAAUACCGUAUACGCCCUGUGGGGGAAAGAUUUAUCGGGGAAGGAUUAGCCCGCGUUGGAUUUGGUAGUUGGUGGGGUAAUGGCCUACCAAGCCGACGAUCCAUAGCUGGUUUGAGAGGAUGAUCAGCCACACUGGGACUGAGACACGGCCCAGACUCCUACGGGAGGCAGCAGUGGGGAAUCUUAGACAAUGGGGGCAACCCUGAUCUAGCCAUGCCGCGUGAGUGAUGAAGGCCUUAGGGUUGUAAAGCUCUUUCAGCUGGGAAGAUAAUGACGGUACCAGCAGAAGAAGCCCCGGCUAACUCCGUG